This 408-nucleotide long non-coding RNA is filed under the name Dicentrarchus labrax (European seabass). RNAcentral's name for it is "lncRNA (ENSDLAG00005029613.1)". The record is from RNAcentral. Lineage: Eukaryota; Metazoa; Chordata; Actinopteri; Moronidae.
GCUGACCACUUGACAUGUGAGAGACUGAGGAGUUGUUCCCCCUCCGUCCAUGUUCGAGGACUUGCUCUCUCUCUGCCUCCACUUCACCACUUUUUGGCUACUGAGACGUCUCUGAUUGGUUGAGUUGACCACCCUAUAUAUGAGAGCCUAAGGAGUUGUUUUCCCUCUGUCCCCUUUUGAGGACCUGCUUUGUCUCCUCCAUCAUUCACUGGGCCACUUUUGGGUUCCUGAGCUUAUUUCAUGUGGUCAUGAAUUUGGUGAGGAGUGGAGCUGGCUGGCUGCGGACGAGGAAGUAGGGCAAUAUAUACAUGUGCACAUACACGUAUAUGAGAAUGCAUAUCUAUUCAGACCUGUAAUUCAUGUCUUAGACUUUUUAACACAGCUAUAGAUCAUUAUUUGUUUUUCAAU